AACGAACGCUGGCGGCGUGCCUAACACAUGCAAGUCGAACGAGAAAGGAAUCUUCGGAUUCUGAGUAAGAGUGGCGCACGGGUGAGUAACACGUGGAUAACCUGCCCUAUGAUCUGGGAUAACUGACCGAAAGGACAGCUAAUACCGGAUAAGCCCACAGAGACUUCGGUCUCAGUGGGAAAAGAUUUAUCGUCAUAGGAUGGGUCCGCGGUCCAUUAGCUAGUUGGUAGGGUAACGGCCUACCAAGGCUACGAGUGGAUAGCGUGGUCUGAGAGGAGUGAUCAGCCACACGUGGAACCGUAGAGACACGGUCCAGAACUCCUACGGGAAGGCAGCAGUGGGGAAUUUUGCGCAAUGGGGGAAACCCUGACGCAGCAACGCCGCGUGAAGGAGUGAAGGCCUCUGUGGGUCGUAAACUUCUGUCAGAGGGGAAGAAAUGCCCGUAAGGGAGCUGACGUACCCGCAGAGGAAGUCCCGCUAAC
Molecule: ribosomal RNA, 482 nt
Filed under: uncultured bacterium
Lineage: Bacteria
Description: bacterial SSU rRNA
Rfam family: Bacterial small subunit ribosomal RNA
Source: RNAcentral